This 1150-nucleotide ribosomal RNA is filed under the name Salmonella enterica. Its description in RNAcentral is "partial 23S ribosomal RNA". It matches the Rfam family "Bacterial large subunit ribosomal RNA", at positions 1 to 1190 of the family's 2925-position model. RNAcentral also lists the same sequence under 1 other name. The record is from RNAcentral. Lineage: Bacteria; Pseudomonadati; Pseudomonadota; Gammaproteobacteria; Enterobacterales; Enterobacteriaceae.
GGUUAAGCGACUAAGCGUACACGGUGGAUGCCCUGGCAGUCAGAGGCGAUGAAGGACGUGCUAAUCUGCGAUAAGCGCCGGUAAGGUGAUAUGAACCGUUAUAACCGGCGAUUUCCGAAUGGGGAAACCCAGUGUGAUUCGUCACACUAUCAUUAACUGAAUCCAUAGGUUAAUGAGGCGAACCGGGGGAACUGAAACAUCUAAGUACCCCGAGGAAAAGAAAUCAACCGAGAUUCCCCCAGUAGCGGCGAGCGAACGGGGAGGAGCCCAGAGCCUGAAUCAGCAUGUGUGUUAGUGGAAGCGUCUGGAAAGGUGCGCGAUACAGGGUGACAGCCCCGUACACAAAAGCGCAUGUGCUGUGAGCUCGAUGAGUAGGGCGGGACACGUGGUAUCCUGUCUGAAUAUGGGGGGACCAUCCUCCAAGGCUAAAUACUCCUGACUGACCGAUAGUGAACCAGUACCGUGAGGGAAAGGCGAAAAGAACCCCGGCGAGGGGAGUGAAAAAGAACCUGAAACCGUGUACGUACAAGCAGUGGGAGCACAGGUUUACCUGUGUGACUGCGUACCUUUUGUAUAAUGGGUCAGCGACUUAUAUUCUGUAGCAAGGUUAACCGUAUAGGGGAGCCGUAGGGAAACCGAGUCUUAACCGGGCGUUAAGUUGCAGGGUAUAGACCCGAAACCCGGUGAUCUAGCCAUGGGCAGGUUGAAGGUUGGGUAACACUAACUGGAGGACCGAACCGACUAAUGUUGAAAAAUUAGCGGAUGACCUGUGGCUGGGGGUGAAAGGCCAAUCAAACCGGGAGAUAGCUGGUUCUCCCCGAAAGCUAUUUAGGUAGCGCCUCGUGAAUUCAUCUCCGGGGGUAGAGCACUGUUUCGGCUAGGGGGCCAUCCCGGCUUACCAACCCGAUGCAAACUGCGAAUACCGGAGAAUGUUAUCACGGGAGACACACGGCGGGUGCUAACGUCCGUCGUGAAGAGGGAAACAACCCAGACCGCCAGCUAAGGUCCCAAAGUCAUGGUUAAGUGGGAAACGAUGUGGGAAGGCCCAGACAGCCAGGAUGUUGGCUUAGAAGCAGCCAUCAUUUAAAGAAAGCGUAAUAGCUCACUGGUCGAGUCGGCCUGCGCGGAAGAUGUAACGGGGCUAAACCAU